UCCCUGACGGCUCAUCAGGUAAAGAGCCCGCCUGCGAUGCGGGAGACCCAGGUUCGAGCCCUGGGUGGGGAA
This is a transfer RNA of Ovis aries (sheep), 72 nucleotides long. It matches the Rfam family "tRNA". From Rfam's summary of the family: Transfer RNA (tRNA) molecules are approximately 80 nucleotides in length. Their secondary structure includes four short double-helical elements and three loops (D, anti-codon, and T loops). Further hydrogen bonds mediate the characteristic L-shaped molecular structure. tRNAs have two regions of fundamental functional importance: the anti-codon, which is responsible for specific mRNA codon recognition, and the 3' end, to which the tRNAs corresponding amino acid is attached (by aminoacyl-tRNA synthetases). tRNAs cope with the degeneracy of the genetic code in two manners: having more than one tRNA (with a specific anti-codon) for a particular amino acid; and 'wobble' base-pairing, i.e. permitting non-standard base-pairing at the 3rd anti-codon position. NCBI's taxonomy places the organism in Eukaryota, Metazoa, Chordata, Mammalia, Artiodactyla, Bovidae. The record is from Rfam.